AAUUUUGAAUGUCUAGGUUCAUCUGAUUUACAUCCUUGUUUUCACUUCCCUCUUUGCUCCUGCAUGAAAUAUAGUGUACAGUCCUGAAUUCAGAAAAUCACAAUUGAAUUGACCAGAAAUGACUCACACUCCAUUGGAUAAAGUUAAUCUCUUCCAUUUCAAGGGGGACUUGAUUUGAAACACACUGAAGACACUGAUUAUGGACAA
Long non-coding RNA from Silurus meridionalis, 207 nucleotides. RefSeq lists it as uncharacterized. The record is from RefSeq and is a predicted model, not a curated record. NCBI's taxonomy places the organism in Eukaryota, Metazoa, Chordata, Actinopteri, Siluriformes, Siluridae. The transcript has 2 exons.